RNAcentral lists this long non-coding RNA (1442 nucleotides) under Phasianus colchicus (ring-necked pheasant). RNAcentral describes it as "lncRNA (ENSPCLG00000014453.1)". The record is from RNAcentral. Lineage: Eukaryota; Metazoa; Chordata; Aves; Galliformes; Phasianidae.
GGGGGGGGUUGGAAGCGCUCUUUUCGGGACCGCGGCGCUGAAGGGGGAGGGCUCGGCCAAUCAGCGCGCAGCGCGCCCGUGCUUUCAGCCAAUGGCUGCGCUCGCUGCGCACUCAAGCCCCGCCUUCUGCUGGGAGCCAAUGGCGGCGCGGCGCUGCGUGGCGUCAACCAAUCGCUGUGCGCGCUGCGCUUUGCUCCCGCCUUCCGCCGGUGGCCAAUGGUGGGGGAGGAUCGAGCAAAGAGGCGGGCUCAGCGCAUGCGCUCUCCACCCUUCUCCCCAGCGGGCGGGGCUACGCAGCUACUCACCCACCUAUUGGAUGAUGCGUUGACAAGCUUUCCGCUCAACCAAUGAGGUGGUAGGGGUGCUGAGCGCGGUCACGCCCUCUCUCCACCCGAUUGGGCGCGCGGGAGAGCGGCAGAUCCACCAGCCAAUGAGAGCGCCGGGAACGAAGGGAGGAGGCGUGGCUUAGCUCUCCCGCGCCCGAGCGGCGUUGAGGGCGGUGCGGGCGCCAUUUUGUGCGGAGCCCCCGAGCCAGGAGGCGGCGGCGGCGGCGGCGGGGCCCAGCGGCUCCCCCGGCCGAUCCGAGGACGCUCUUGGCAACCCCCACCCCACCACCACCACCCCCAAAAUCCCCUUUUCUCACCCCAAAAACCCGUUUUGAGGGCAAAAAAGGGUUUUUUGGGGGCCGAGCAGCGCCAAUUUUUUCGCCGCCGCCAACAUUUUUCUCUUUUUUCCCCAAUUUUUCCCCAAUUUUUCCUCGUUUUGCCCCAUUUUUCCCCAUUUUCCCCUUUUCCACAUUUUCUCCCAUUUUUCCCAUUUUCCCCUCUUCCAUUUUUUUCCCAAAAAAGCUCUUUUUUCACUUUUUCCUAUUUCCCCAUUUCUUCCAUUUUUCUCUUUUUUCCCCUUUCCCAUUUUUCCUCUUUUCUCUCUUUUUUCCCUCAACUUUUUCUUUUUUUCUUCUUUUUUCAUUUUUUCAUUUUUUUCGUCAUUUUUUUCAUUUUUCCCCCUUUUUUCUCAGUUUCCCAUUUUUACACUUUUUUCCCCCAAUUUUCCACUUUUUCUCCUCACUUUUCCUCUUUUUAAAGAUUUUUUCCCCUUUUUCACCAUUUUCCCUUUUCUUCAUUUUUUCUUCAUUUUUUUCCAACACUUUUUCCCUCUUUUCAACAUUUUCCCCUUUUCUGCUCUUUUUUAAACCAUUUUUCCACAUUUUUGCUGUUUUCCCUUUUUUCCCUAUUUUUUCCUUCUCCAUUUUUCCCUUUUUUGGACUUUUUUUUUGUGCCACUUUUUCCUUUUCAAUUUUUCUCCCUUUUUUUCCUUUUUCCCCCGUUUUUCCAUUUUCCCUUUUUUCCCCUUUUUCCCCCUAAUUUCUCCAUUUCUCAAUUAUUAUUUUUUUUAAUUUCCACUUCCUUUUUUUUUCCCUUUUCUGAAUUUUUCUCCCCUUU